Ailuropoda melanoleuca (giant panda) is the source of this 73-nucleotide non-coding RNA. The record is from Rfam. NCBI's taxonomy places the organism in Eukaryota, Metazoa, Chordata, Mammalia, Carnivora, Ursidae.
GCCUGGCUGGCUCAGUACGUAGAGCAUGUGACUCUUGAUCUUGGGGUAGUGAGUUCAAGCCCCAUGCUGGGUG